RNAcentral lists this ribosomal RNA (393 nucleotides) under Escherichia coli. RNAcentral describes it as "bacterial SSU rRNA". It matches the Rfam family "Bacterial small subunit ribosomal RNA", at positions 194 to 581 of the family's 1533-position model. The record is from RNAcentral. Lineage: Bacteria; Pseudomonadati; Pseudomonadota; Gammaproteobacteria; Enterobacterales; Enterobacteriaceae.
GGGGGACCUUCGGGCCUCUUGCCAUCGGAUGUGCCCAGAUGGGAUUAGCUAGUAGGUGGGGUAACGGCUCACCUAGGCGACGAUCCCUAGCUGGUCUGAGAGGAUGACCAGCCACACUGGAACUGAGACACGGUCCAGACUCCUACGGGAGGCAGCAGUGGGGAAUAUUGCACAAUGGGCGCAAGCCUGAUGCAGCCAUGCCGCGUGUAUGAAGAAGGCCUUCGGGUUGUAAAGUACUUUCAGCGGGGAGGAAGGGAGUAAAGUUAAUACCUUUGCUCAUUGACGUUACCCGCAGAAGAAGCACCGGCUAACUCCGCCCAGCAGCCGCCGUAAUCCGGAGGGUGCACAGCUCUUAAUAGGAAGUACUGGGCGUAAAGCGCACGCAGCGGGUUG